UACGAAGGGGGCUAGCGUUGCUCGGAAUCACUGGGCGUAAAGCGCACGUAGGCGGAUUGUUAAGUCAGGGGUGAAAUCCUGGAGCUCAACUCCAGAACUGCCUUUAAUACUGGCGAUCUUGAGUCCGGGAGAGGUGAGUGGAACUCCGAGUGUAGAGGUGAAAUUCGUAGAUAUUCGGAAGAACACCAGUGGCGAAGGCGGCUCACUGGCCCGGUACUGACGCUGAGGUGCGAAAGCGUGGGGAGCAAACAGG
This 253-nucleotide ribosomal RNA is filed under the name uncultured bacterium. RNAcentral's name for it is "partial 16S ribosomal RNA". It matches the Rfam family "Bacterial small subunit ribosomal RNA", at positions 524 to 776 of the family's 1533-position model. The record is from RNAcentral.